Bos taurus (domestic cattle) is the source of this 73-nucleotide non-coding RNA. The record is from Rfam. NCBI's taxonomy places the organism in Eukaryota, Metazoa, Chordata, Mammalia, Artiodactyla, Bovidae.
UCCCUGGUGGCUCAGACGGUAAAGCGUCUUGCUUACAAUGCAGGCGACCUGGGUUCGAUCCCUGGAUUGGGAA